Molecule: ribosomal RNA, 494 nt
Filed under: uncultured bacterium
Lineage: Bacteria
Description: partial 16S ribosomal RNA
Rfam family: Bacterial small subunit ribosomal RNA
Source: RNAcentral
GAUGAACGCUGGCGGCGUGCCUAAUACAUGCAAGUCGAGCGAACGGACGAGAAGCUUGCUUCUCUGAUGUUAGCGGCGGACGGGUGAGUAACACGUGGAUAACCUACCUAUAAGACUGGGAUAACUUCGGGAAACCGGAGCUAAUACCGGAUGAUAUUUUGAACCGCAUGGUUCAAAAGUGAAAGACGGUCUUGCUGUCACUUAUAGAUGGAUCCGCGCUGCAUUAGCUAGUUGGUAAGGUAACGGCUUACCAAGGCAACGAUGCAUAGCCGACCUGAGAGGGUGAUCGGCCACACUGGAACUGAGACACGGUCCAGACUCCUACGGGAGGCAGCAGUAGGGAAUCUUCCGCAAUGGGCGAAAGCCUGACGGAGCAACGCCGCGUGAGUGAUGAAGGUCUUCGGAUCGUAAAACUCUGUUAUUAGGGAAGAACAUAUGUGUAAGUAACUGUGCACAUCUUGACGGUACCUAAUCAGAAAGCCACGGCUAACUAC